RNAcentral lists this long non-coding RNA (786 nucleotides) under Bos taurus (domestic cattle). RNAcentral describes it as "long non-coding RNA NONBTAT007497". The record is from RNAcentral. Lineage: Eukaryota; Metazoa; Chordata; Mammalia; Artiodactyla; Bovidae.
CCGCUCCUUCCCCUUCCCUCUCCCUGCCAGCGUCACCGCUCUCCCAGCCUAGUCGCUGCCGCUGGCUCUCCCCGUCGCUGACGUGGCCACCGCGGGUGACUACCCGACCACCGGAAGCGCAGCCCUUGUAGGGCGCAGAGUCCUGAGGGCUCCGCGGGGCCGGAAGCCGGGCAACAGCCGCCCGCGGUCUCUGGCCUGGCUCUCAUCUUCCGAACGACUCACCGGUCCCGCAAAGGAGCUUUCACCAUGGGACCGCAUCUCUAAUGCUGAAAAGCAGCUGAAAAUACCCAGGACCACCUGAUUCUCUGACUCAGUGGGACUCAACCCCUGACCUCAGGGGAGUUUCCUGAGCCAUGAAGGAAGACUUGAGCUGAGCACAGAAGGAAACAUGGGAAAGGAUGUUGGUUAUUAUUUUCCCAGCUAUUAUCCUGACCUGAUUACUCUUGUCAUUAUGGGCUCUCACUAAAGCUCAGUUGAGGAUAACACUAAAUGCUACCGAGAAUAACUUCAGAUUCCUCGGAUCCCAUGUUCCUGCAUUAGGUAUUCACACAGAUUAUGGAAGCAGCAAGGCUCCCUUCUGUGAACCACAUGGAUGAAAUGCUCAGCCUCCCUGGGCUGGGAGCCACGCACAGCUGAGAAACACCUUGGGCCCUGAAGCCAGAGCUGGCCACUACGCAGGAGAGAGAGCCUGCAUGAGCCAGUGCGGUGAAGGAUGGCGUGAAGGCGUGAAAGGUGGCUUUGGGAAGCGAAAAGCAGGCUCUGAGAGCCCAGCUCCAGGAACCUGGA